CCUACGGGUGGCAGCAGUGGGGAAUAUUGCACAAUGGGGGAAACCCUGAUGCAGCGACGCCGCGUGAGUGAAGAAGUAAUUCGGUAUGUAAAGCUCUAUCAGCAGGGAAGAAAAUGACGGUACCUGAGUAAGAAGCCCCGGCUAACUACGUGCGAGCAGCCGCGGUAAUACGUAGGGGGCAAGCGUUAUCCGGAUUUACUGGUGGUAAAGGGAGCGUAGACGGCAGUGCAAGUCUGGAGUGAAAGGCGGGGGCUCAACCCGCGGACUGCUCUGGAAACUGUACGGCUGGAGUGCAGGAGAGGUGAGUGGAAUUCCUAGUGUAGCGGUGAAAUGCGUAGAUAUUAGGAGGAACACCAGUGGCGAAGGCGGCUUACUGGACUGUAACUGACGUUGAGGCUCGAAAGCGUGGGGAGCAAACAGGAUUAGAUACCCUGGUAGUC
Molecule: ribosomal RNA, 440 nt
Filed under: uncultured bacterium
Lineage: Bacteria
Description: partial 16S ribosomal RNA
Rfam family: Bacterial small subunit ribosomal RNA
Source: RNAcentral